GAUGAACGCUGGCGGCGUGCCUAAUACAUGCAAGUCGAGCGAACAGACGAGGAGCUUGCUCCUCUGACGUUAGCGGCGGACGGGUGAGUAACACGUGGAUAACCUACCUAUAAGACUGGGAUAACUUCGGGAAACCGGAGCUAAUACCGGAUAAUAUAUUGAACCGCAUGGUUCAAUAGUGAAAGACGGUUUUGCUGUCACUUAUAGAUGGAUCCGCGCCGCAUUAGCUAGUUGGUAAGGUAACGGCUUACCAAGGCAACGAUGCGUAGCCGACCUGAGAGGGUGAUCGGCCACACUGGAACUGAGACACGGUCCAGACUCCUACGGGAGGCAGCAGUAGGGAAUCUUCCGCAAAGGGCGAAAGCUUGACGGAGCAACGCCGCGUGAGUGAUGAAGGUCUUCGGAUCGUAAAACUCUGUUAUUAGGGAAGAACAAAUGUGUAAGUAACUAUGCACGUCUUGACGGUACCUAAUCAGAGAGCCACGGCUAACUACGUG
RNAcentral lists this ribosomal RNA (497 nucleotides) under uncultured bacterium. RNAcentral describes it as "partial 16S ribosomal RNA". It matches the Rfam family "Bacterial small subunit ribosomal RNA", at positions 28 to 507 of the family's 1533-position model. The record is from RNAcentral.